GAUGAAGAACGUAGCGAAAUGCGAUAAGUAAUGUGAAUUGCAGAAUUCAGUGAAUCAUCGAAUCUUUGAACGCACAUUGCGCCCGCCAGUAUUCUGGCGGGCUUGCCUGUUCGAGCGUCAUUACAACCCUCAGGCCCCCGGGCCUGGCGUUGGGGAUCGGCGGAGCCCCCCGUGGGCACACGCCGUCCCCCAAAUGCAGUGGCGGUCCCGCCGCAGCUUCCAUCGCGUAGUAGCUAACACCUCGCGACUGGAGAGCGGCGCGGCCACGCCGUAAAACACCCAACUCUUCUGAAGUUGACCUCGAAUCAGGUAGGAAUACCCGCUGAACUUAAGCAUAUCAAUAAGCGGAGGA
Molecule: unclassified non-coding RNA, 352 nt
Filed under: soil metagenome
Description: partial contains 5.8S ribosomal RNA, internal transcribed spacer 2, and large subunit ribosomal RNA
Rfam family: 5.8S ribosomal RNA (bases 1-120)
Source: RNAcentral